GAUGAACGCUAGCGAUAGGCCUAACACAUGCAAGUCGAGGGGCAUCACAUGAAGUAGCAAUACGGAUGGUGGCGACCGGCGCACGGGUGAGUAACACGUAUGCAACCUGCCUUCAACAAGGGGAUAACCCGUUGAAAGACGGACUAAUACCCUAUAACACAGGGGUCCCGCAUGGGGAUAUUUGUUAAAGGACAACCGGUUGAAGAUGGGCAUGCGUUCCAUUAGCUAGUUGGCGGGUAAGGCCCACCAAGGCAACGAUGGAUAGGGGAACUGAGAGGUUUAUCCCCCACACUGGUACUGAGACACGGACCAGACUCCUACGGGAGGCAGCAGUGAGGAAUAUUGGUCAAUGGACGCAAGUCUGAACCAGCCACGUCGCGUGAAGGAAGACGGCCCUACGGGUUGUAAACUUCUUUUGCAAGGGAAUAAAGUGGGCCACGUGUGGCCUUUUGCAAGUACCUUGCGAAUAAGGAUCGGCUAACUCCGUG
Molecule: ribosomal RNA, 488 nt
Filed under: uncultured bacterium
Lineage: Bacteria
Description: bacterial SSU rRNA
Rfam family: Bacterial small subunit ribosomal RNA
Source: RNAcentral